GACGAACGCUGGCGGCGUGCUUAACACAUGCAAGUCGAACGAUGAAGAAGAGAAACGCGAACUUCGGUUCAAAUUUCACUUCGGAUUAGUGGCAGACGGUUGAGUAACGCGUGAGCAACCUACCUCUUACAAAGGGAUAGCCUCGGGAAACCGUGAUUAAUACCAUAUGACACAUUCAUAAGGCAUCUUAAGAAUGUUAAAGCUACGGCGGUAAGAGAUGGGCUCGCGUCCCAUUAGCUAGUUGGUGAGGUAACGGCCCACCAAGGCGACGAUGGGUAACCGGCCUGAGAGGGUGAACGGUCACAUUGGAACUGAGACACGGUCCAAACUCCUACGGGAGGCAGCAGUGGGGAAUAUUGCACAAUGGAGGGAACUCUGAUGCAGCGACGCCGCGUGAGCGAUGAAGGAAUUCGUUUCGUAAAGCUCUGUUCUAUGGGAAGAAAAGGACUGUACCAUAGGAGAAAGCCCCGGCUAAAUACGUG
RNAcentral lists this ribosomal RNA (482 nucleotides) under uncultured bacterium. Its description in RNAcentral is "partial 16S ribosomal RNA". It matches the Rfam family "Bacterial small subunit ribosomal RNA", at positions 28 to 507 of the family's 1533-position model. The record is from RNAcentral.